GACGAACGCUGGCGGCGUGCCUAAUACAUGCAAGUCGAACGAAGCUGUUUUAACUGGUGCUUGCACCGACUUAAACAACUGAGUGGCGAACGGGUGAGUAACACGUGGGUAACCUGCCCCAAAGCGGGGGAUAACAUUUGGAAACAGAUGCUAAUACCGCAUAAUCACAGGAACCACAUGGUUUCUGUGUCAAAGAUGGUUUCGGCUAUCACUUUGGGAUGGACCCGCGGCGUAUUAGCUAGUUGGUAAGGUAAUGGCUUACCAAGGCAAUGAUACGUAGCCGAACUGAGAGGUUGAUCGGCCACAUUGGGACUGAGACACGGCCCAAACUCCUACGGGAGGCAGCAGUAGGGAAUCUUCCACAAUGGACGAAAGUCUGAUGGAGCAACGCCGCGUGAGUGAAGAAGGUUUUCGGAUCGUAAAACUCUGUUGCCAGAGAAGAACGUGUGCGAGAGUAACUGUUCGUGCAGUGACGGUAUCUGGCCAGAAAGCCACGGCUAACUACGUGCCAGCCGCCGCCGUAA
RNAcentral lists this ribosomal RNA (524 nucleotides) under uncultured bacterium. RNAcentral's name for it is "partial 16S ribosomal RNA". It matches the Rfam family "Bacterial small subunit ribosomal RNA", at positions 28 to 523 of the family's 1533-position model. The record is from RNAcentral.